AUGAAAAUCGGACUUAGUGAUCCGGUGGUUCUGCGUGGAAGGGCCAUCGCUCAACGGAUAAAAGCUACCCUGGGGAUAACAGGCUUAUCUCCCCCAAGAGUCCACAUCGACGGGGAGGUUUGGCACCGCGAUGUCGGCUCAUCACAUCCUGGGGCUGUAGUAGGUCCCAAGGGUUGGGCUGUUCGCCCAUUAAAGUGGUACGCGAGCUGGGUUCAGAACGUCGUGAGACAGUUCGGUCCCUAUCCGUCGCAGGCG
RNAcentral lists this ribosomal RNA (255 nucleotides) under Clostridioides difficile. Its description in RNAcentral is "partial 23S ribosomal RNA". It matches the Rfam family "Bacterial large subunit ribosomal RNA", at positions 2399 to 2653 of the family's 2925-position model. The record is from RNAcentral. Lineage: Bacteria; Bacillati; Bacillota; Clostridia; Peptostreptococcales; Peptostreptococcaceae.